Molecule: ribosomal RNA, 292 nt
Filed under: uncultured bacterium
Lineage: Bacteria
Description: partial 16S ribosomal RNA
Rfam family: Bacterial small subunit ribosomal RNA
Source: RNAcentral
GUGCCAGCCGCCGCGGUAAAACGUAGGACACAAGCGUUAUCCGGAAUUACUGGGCGUAAAGGGCGUGCAGGCGGUUGGGUAAGUUAGGCGUGAAAGACUUCGGCUAAACCGGGGGAGGUCGUCUGAUACUGCUCAACUUGAGUAUGGUAGAGGCGUGUAGAAUUCCGGGUGUAGUGGUGAAAUGCGUAGAGAUCCGGAGGAAUACCAGUGGCGAAGGCGGCACGCUGGGCCAUUACUGACGCUAAGACGCGAAAGCAUGGGUAGCGAACGGGAUUAGAAACCCCCGUAGUCC